RNAcentral lists this ribosomal RNA (881 nucleotides) under Saccharomyces sp. WW-W8. RNAcentral's name for it is "SSU rRNA". It matches the Rfam family "Eukaryotic small subunit ribosomal RNA", at positions 1 to 893 of the family's 1831-position model. Lineage: Eukaryota; Fungi; Ascomycota; Saccharomycetes; Saccharomycetales; Saccharomycetaceae. The record is from RNAcentral.
GAAUUCACUAGUGAUUGUAGUCAUAUGGUUGUCUCAAAGAUUAAGCCAUGCAUGUCUAAGUAUAAGCAAUUUAUACAGUGAAACUGCGAAUGGCUCAUUAAAUCAGUUAUCGUUUAUUUGAUAGUUCCUUUACUACAUGGUAUAACUGUGGUAAUUCUAGAGCUAAUACAUGCUUAAAAUCUCGACCCUUUGGAAGAGAUGUAUUUAUUAGAUAAAAAAUCAAUGUCUUCGGACUCUUUGAUGAUUCAUAAUAACUUUUCGAAUCGCAUGGCCUUGUGCUGGCGAUGGUUCAUUCAAAUUUCUGCCCUAUCAACUUUCGAUGGUAGGAUAGUGGCCUACCAUGGUUUCAACGGGUAACGGGGAAUAAGGGUUCGAUUCCGGAGAGGGAGCCUGAGAAACAGCUACCACAUCCAAGGAAGGCAGCAGGCGCGCAAAUUACCCAAUCCUAAUUCAGGGAGGUAGUGACAAUAAAUAACGAUACAGGGCCCAUUCGGGUCUUGUAAUUGGAAUGAGUACAAUGUAAAUACCUUAACGAGGAACAAUUGGAGGGCAAGUCUGGUGCCAGCAGCCGCGGUAAUUCCAGCUCCAAUAGCGUAUAUUAAAGUUGUUGCAGUUAAAAAGCUCGUAGUUGAACUUUGGGCCCGGUUGGCCGGUCCGAUUUUUUCGUGUACUGGAUUUCCAACGGGGCCUUUCCUUCUGGCUAACCUUGAGUCCUUGUGGCUCUUGGCGAACCAGGACUUUUACUUUGAAAAAAUUAGAGUGUUCAAAGCACGCGUAUUGCUCGAAUAUAUUAGCAUGGAAUAAUAGAAUAGGACGUUUGGUUCUAUUUUGUUGGUUUCUAGGACCAUCGUAAUGAUUAAUAGGGACGGUCGGGGGCAUCA